Molecule: ribosomal RNA, 2930 nt
Filed under: Proteus mirabilis
Lineage: Bacteria; Pseudomonadati; Pseudomonadota; Gammaproteobacteria; Enterobacterales; Morganellaceae
Description: 23S ribosomal RNA
Rfam family: Bacterial large subunit ribosomal RNA
Source: RNAcentral
GGGUUGUGAGGUUAAGCGAAUAAGCGUACACGGUGGAUGCCUAGGCAAUCAGAGGCGAUGAAGGACGUGCUAAUCUGCGAAAAGCGUCGGUAAGGUGAUAUGAACCGUUAUACCCGACGAUAUCCGAAUGGGGAAACCCAGUAUCCAAUGGAUACUAUCAUUAACUGAAUCCAUAGGUUAAUGAGGCGAACCGGGAGAACUGAAACAUCUCAGUACCCCGAGGAAAAGAAAUCAACCGAGAUUCCCCUAGUAGCGGCGAGCGAACGGGGAGCAGCCCAGAGUCUUAAUCAAUAACAGUGUCAGGAGAACGGUCUGGAAAGUCCGGCAGUAAAGGGUGAUAGCCCCGUAUCUGAAGAUGCUGUUAUUGUGAACUCGACGAGUAGGGCGGGACACGUGUUAUCCUGUCUGAAUAUGGGGGGACCAUCCUCCAAGGCUAAAUACUCCUGAUUGACCGAUAGUGAACCAGUACCGUGAGGGAAAGGCGAAAAGAACCCCGGCGAGGGGAGUGAAAAAGAACCUGAAACCGUGUACGUACAAGCAGUAGGAGCCUCUUUAUGGGGUGACUGCGUACCUUUUGUAUAAUGGGUCAGCGACUUAUAUUCUGUAGCGAGGUUAACCGUAUAGGGGAGCCGUAGGGAAACCGAGUCUUAACUGGGCGAAUGAGUUGCAGGGUAUAGACCCGAAACCCGGUGAUCUAUCCAUGGGCAGGUUGAAGGUUGGGUAACACUAACUGGAGGACCGAACCGACUAAUGUUGAAAAAUUAGCGGAUGACUUGUGGAUGGGGGUGAAAGGCCAAUCAAACCGGGAGAUAGCUGGUUCUCCCCGAAAGCUAUUUAGGUAGCGCCUCGUGAACUCAUCUUCGGGGGUAGAGCACUGUUUCGACUAGGGGGUCAUCCCGACUUACCAACUCGAUGCAAACUGCGAAUACCGAAGAAUGUUAUCACGGGAGACACACGGCGGGUGCUAACGUCCGUCGUGAAGAGGGAAACAACCCAGACCGCCAGCUAAGGUCCCAAAGUCAUGGUUAAGUGGGAAACGAAGUGGGAAGGCUCAGACAGCCAGGAUGUUGGCUUAGAAGCAGCCAUCAUUUAAAGAAAGCGUAAUAGCUCACUGGUCGAGUCGGCCCGCGCGGAAGAUGUAACGGGGCUAAACCAUGCACCGAAGCUGCGGCAGCGACACAUAGUGUUGUUGGGUAGGGGAGCGUUCUGUAAGCCUGCGAAGGUGUACUGUGAGGUAUGCUGGAGGUAUCAGAAGUGCGAAUGCUGACAUAAGUAACGAUAAUGCGGGUGAAAAACCCGCACGCCGGAAGACCAAGGGUUCCUGUCCAACGUUAAUCGGGGCAGGGUGAGUCGACCCCUAAGGCGAGGCUGAAAAGCGUAGUCGAUGGGAAACGGGUUAAUAUUCCCGUACUGGUGGUAACUGCGAUGGGGGAACGGAGAAGGCUAGGUUGUCCGGGCGACGGUCGUCCCGGUUCAAGCAGGUAGGCAGAGUGAUUAGGCAAAUCCGGUCACUUAAUGCUGAGAUGUGAUGACGAACCACUAAGGUGGUGAAGCAAUUGAUGCCCCGCUUCCAGGAAAAGCCUCUAAGCUUCAGGUUACCAACAAUCGUACCCCAAACCGACACAGGUGGUCAGGUAGAGAAUACUCAGGCGCUUGAGAGAACUCGGGUGAAGGAACUAGGCAAAAUGGUGCCGUAACUUCGGGAGAAGGCACGCUGGCGGUAGGUAAAGUCCCUUGCGGACGGCGCUGAAGCCAGUCGAAGAUACCAGCUGGCUGCAACUGUUUAUUAAAAACACAGCACUGUGCAAACACGAAAGUGGACGUAUACGGUGUGACGCCUGCCCGGUGCUGGAAGGUUAAUUGAUGGGGUCAGCCGUAAGGCGAAGCUCCUGAUCGAAGCCCCAGUAAACGGCGGCCGUAACUAUAACGGUCCUAAGGUAGCGAAAUUCCUUGUCGGGUAAGUUCCGACCUGCACGAAUGGCGUAAUGAUGGCCAGGCUGUCUCCACCCGAGACUCAGUGAAAUUGAACUCGCUGUGAAGAUGCAGUGUACCCGCGGCAAGACGGAAAGACCCGUGAACCUUUACUAUAGCUUGACACUGAACAUUGAGCCUUGAUGUGUAGGAUAGGUGGGAGGCUUUGAAGUGUGGACGCCAGUCUGCAUGGAGCCAACCUUGAAAUACCACCCUUUAACGUUUGAUGUUCUAACCUAGGCCCAUAAACUGGGUCGGGGACCGUGUCUGGUGGGUAGUUUGACUGGGGCGGUCUCCUCCUAAAGAGUAACGGAGGAGCACGAAGGUUGGCUAAGCAUGGUCGGACAUCAUGCGGUUAGUGCAAAGGCAUAAGCCAGCUUGACUGCGAGAGUGACGGCUCGAGCAGGUACGAAAGUAGGUCUUAGUGAUCCGGUGGUUCUGAAUGGAAGGGCCAUCGCUCAACGGAUAAAAGGUACUCCGGGGAUAACAGGCUGAUACCGCCCAAGAGUUCAUAUCGACGGCGGUGUUUGGCACCUCGAUGUCGGCUCAUCACAUCCUGGGGCUGAAGUAGGUCCCAAGGGUAUGGCUGUUCGCCAUUUAAAGUGGUACGCGAGCUGGGUUUAGAACGUCGUGAGACAGUUCGGUCCCUAUCUGCCGUGGGCGUUGGAAGAUUGAGAGGGUUGCUCCUAGUACGAGAGGACCGGAGUGAACGCACCACUGGUGUUCGGGUUGUCAUGCCAAUGGCAUUGCCCGGUAGCUAAGUGCGGAAGAGAUAACCGCUGAAAGCAUCUAAGCGGGAAACUUGCCUCGAGAUGAGUCUUCCCUGUCGCUUUAAGCGACCUAAAGGAACGUUUAAGACUAAGACGUUGAUAGGCUGGGUGUGUAAGCGUAGCGAUACGUUGAGCUAACCAGUACUAAUGAACCGUGAGGCUUAACCUGACAACACCGAAAGUGUUUUG